GUCCUCAUAAACUUACUUUCUCAUGGGAAAGGAAUAAGCUCACAGGAACACAGAAGAAAGGAGACAGCAGCAGCUGCACAUGGUCUGGUUGGGAGGAUAAAAUGGCGUGCUAUGGAAACACAUUCAUCAUUUUGUCUCCAGCAGCCUGGAAUCUGCUUUAGAGAAAACGCUCCCCAAAUGGUUAUUGAAUGAAUGAGUGAUGACCCC
This is a long non-coding RNA of Lontra canadensis (Northern American river otter), 207 nucleotides long. RefSeq lists it as uncharacterized. Lineage: Eukaryota; Metazoa; Chordata; Mammalia; Carnivora; Mustelidae. The record is from RefSeq and is a predicted model, not a curated record. The transcript is spliced from 3 exons.